RNAcentral lists this ribosomal RNA (164 nucleotides) under uncultured bacterium. RNAcentral's name for it is "partial 16S ribosomal RNA". It matches the Rfam family "Bacterial small subunit ribosomal RNA", at positions 355 to 511 of the family's 1533-position model. The record is from RNAcentral.
UAGGGAAUCUUCCACAAUGGACGCAAGUCUGAUGGAGCAACGCCGCGUGAGUGAAGAAGGGUUUCGGCUCGUAAAGCUCUGUUGUUAAAGAAGAACGUGGGUAAGAGUAACUGUUCACCCAGUGACGGUAUUUAACCAGAAAGCCACGGCUAACUACGUGCCAG